GAUUAACGCUGGCGGCAUGCCUAAUACAUGCAAGUCGAACGAGAAUUUAUUCUAGUGGCGAACGGGUGAGUAAUGUAUUUCUAACCUGCCCUAGAGAGUGGGAUAACUAUUGGAAACGAUAGCUAAUACCGCAUAGGAUAUUGGAGGGCAUCCUCUAAUGUUUAAAGGUGCGUUUGCACCACUUUGGGAUGGGGAAAUAUCACAUUAGCUUGUUGGCGGGGUAAAGGCCCACCAAGGCGAUGAUGUGUAGCCGAGCUGAGAGGUUGAUCGGCCACAAUAGGACUGAGACACGGCCCAUACUCCUACGGGAGGCAGCAGUAGGGAAUUUUCCACAAUGGACGAAAGUCUGAUGGAGCAAUGCCGCGUGAGGGAUGACGGUCUUCGGAUUGUAAACCUCUGUUGUAAGGGAAGAACAAGCAGGAUAGGAAAUGAUCUUGCUCUGACGGUACCUUACCAGAAAGUCACGGCUAACUAUGUGCCAGCCGCCGCGGUAA
RNAcentral lists this ribosomal RNA (494 nucleotides) under uncultured bacterium. RNAcentral describes it as "partial 16S ribosomal RNA". It matches the Rfam family "Bacterial small subunit ribosomal RNA", at positions 28 to 523 of the family's 1533-position model. The record is from RNAcentral.